Molecule: ribosomal RNA, 500 nt
Filed under: uncultured bacterium
Lineage: Bacteria
Description: partial 16S ribosomal RNA
Rfam family: Bacterial small subunit ribosomal RNA
Source: RNAcentral
AUUGAACGCUGGCGGCAUGCCUUACACAUGCAAGUCGAACGGCAGCACGGGAGCAAUCCUGGUGGCGAGUGGCGAACGGGUGAGUAAUAUAUCGGAACGUGCCCAGUCGUGGGGGAUAACGUAGCGAAAGCUACGCUAAUACCGCAUACGAUCUAUGGAUGAAAGCGGGGGAUCGCAAGACCUCGCGCGAUUGGAGCGGCCGAUAUCAGAUUAGGUAGUUGGUGAGGUAAAGGCUCACCAAGCCGACGAUCUGAAGCUGGUCUGAGAGGACGACCAGCCACACUGGGACUGAGACACGGCCCAGACUCCUACGGGAGGCAGCAGUGGGGAAUUUUGGACAAUGGGCGCAAGCCUGAUUCAGCAAUGCCGCGUGCAGGAUGAAGGCCUUCGGGUUGUAAACUGCUUUUGUACGGAACGAAAUGGCGAGCUCUAAUACAGUUUGCUAAUGACGGUACCGUAAGAAUAAGCACCGGCUAACUACGUGCCAGCCGCCGCAGUAA